This is a long non-coding RNA of Paramormyrops kingsleyae, 1235 nucleotides long. RefSeq lists it as uncharacterized. The record is from RefSeq and is a predicted model, not a curated record. NCBI's taxonomy places the organism in Eukaryota, Metazoa, Chordata, Actinopteri, Osteoglossiformes, Mormyridae.
UGAGGCGUAAUGAAGGCUAAUGUGCUGCAUCCCAUUGGUGGCACUUUCACUAAACACGACUGGAUGUUACGAACAUUCCAGCCACAUUUCAUCAGUGUAAUUGUUAAAUAGGGAUCUGAUUAUUGCAAUACGUGUUAAGCAAGUCAGGACGUUAGUAAUAGGUGGGAGCCUGUAUGUACAGACCAAAGGGCUGAGGAGGCGACGCCAAAGUAUGUCACAGCAAGAAAUACGCAACACAAAAAUCACUACAGUCAAAGGUGACAGUGGGACGGUGGCCCCUGGACAGUGGGACGGUGGCCCUUGUUCUUGCCUUACAAACGCUCAUCUCCUCACCCAAGCAAUAACAGCAGGGUAGUGGCAGCUUUCCAUGUGCCCCCUUUUCCUGUGGCGUCACACGCUCCCUGAACAGCAGUUAUUCUCCUGUUUAACUAGGAAGAAACCUAAAACUGCCGCUGGUGAGAGCAGGACCCGUGGCUGGAUUAUGUUUUUUACAUUAAGUACACAAUCAUUGAUUUCCUUGAGGGGAAACAGAAGAGCUUACCAGUAGGAAAAAUGUGGACAGAUGCAAACAAUUCAGAAGAGACAUACUGUGUCUCCUGAAAGCAGCGCAGCCAGUGGCCGCACUGUCCCCUGAAAGCAGCGCAGCCAGUGGCUGCACUGUUCUCGCCACAAAAUGUCAGCAUUACAUUCCAUCUCACAGAUGUCACAAAUUAUAUCUGCUUAAUUAGGAUCAUCACAAACAAGCUCUGUUCUUAUAAAAAGUACAAAGCACAAAAUUCACUGAGGUCCCUUAGAAUGUUUUACCUGAAUGUUAGAAUAAAAAUAAAAGUGCCAAAUGGCCUUCCAUAAUAUCGUGCAUUUAUAUUGCAUUUGUAGACUUAUCUGUGAUAUUUUUUUUUCCAUUUACAACAUAAUAAUGUGUAUUUGUACAAACUAAAGCAACUGGGGUUACCAUGGGAACUACUACCACUCUGCAGAUACUUAGACCCGGAAUGUAUUAAUUUUGUAAACACUAGUUGGAUUUUAUGCCAGUAGCCCUUUUUAGAGUUAUGUGUACUGUAUAUGGAAAUAUUUCGCUAAAUACAAAACAUCGAUUGGAAAACUCAGUCAGUAAUUACGUUGUUGUGGCUAUCACUCACUGCCGGAAAUUAAAAUUAAAAAUUACUUUAUUCAGGUUAUAAAGAUUUUCAAUAACUACCGACCUUGUAAAUGAUAAUAAGUUUUCUAAAAAACCA